CCUACGGGAGGCAGCAGUAGGGAAUCUUCCACAAUGGGCGAAAGCCUGAUGGAGCAACGCCGCGUGGGUGAAGAAGGUCUUCGGAUCGUAAAACCCUGUUGUUAGAGAAGAAAGUGCGUGAGAGUAACUGUUCACGUUUCGACGGUAUCUAACCAGAAAGCCACGGCUAACUACGUGCCAGCAGCCGCGGUAAUACGUAGGUGGCAAGCGUUAUCCGGAUUUAUUGGGCGUAAAGGGAACGCAGGUGGUCUUUUAAGUCUGAUGUGAAAGCCUUCGGCUUAACCGGAGUAGUGCAUUGGAAACUGGGAGACUGGAGUGCAGAAGAGGAGAGUGGAACUCCAUGUGGAGCGGUGAAAUGCGUAGAUAUAUGGAAGAACACCAGUGGCGAAAGCGGCUCUCUGGUCUGUAACUGACGCUGAGGUUCGAAAGCGUGGGUAGCAAACAGGAUUAGAUACCCCUGUAGUC
Molecule: ribosomal RNA, 465 nt
Filed under: uncultured bacterium
Lineage: Bacteria
Description: partial 16S ribosomal RNA
Rfam family: Bacterial small subunit ribosomal RNA
Source: RNAcentral